AUGUGAGGGAGAUCAGGCUGUGACAUCUGUCACCCCACUGAUCACCAGGGUUGAUUUGGCUGAUCUGGCUGGCUAGGCGGGUGUCCCCUUCCUCCCUCACUGCUCCAUGUACGUCCUUCCUGAAGCUGCGCACUCGGUGGAUGAGGACAACCAUCCCAGAUAGGAGUGUACUGUUCUUCAGUCAAGGGUAUACAAUAGAUGCACUCCCCUGAAAGAACUUCCAAACAAGCAGAUGAACUAAAAAUUAUAGACAAAGUUCUAACAUUUAUCUUUUCAAAAGUCAAGUUACUAUACAGUGGUACCUUGGGUU
Non-coding RNA from Podarcis lilfordi (Lilford's wall lizard), 310 nucleotides. The record is from the annotation of a GenBank genome assembly. NCBI's taxonomy places the organism in Eukaryota, Metazoa, Chordata, Lepidosauria, Squamata, Lacertidae.